GUAGGGAAUAUUGCGCAAUGGACGAAAGUCUGACGCAGCGACGCCGCGUGAGUGAUGAAGGCCUUAGGGUCGUAAAGCUCUGUUGAAUGGGAAGAAAAAAAUGACGGUACCAUUCGAGGAAGGACCGGCUAACUUCGUGCCAGCAGCCGCGGUAAUACGAGGGGUCCUAGCGUUGUUCGGAAUCAUUGGGCGUAAAGGGUGUGUAGGUGGCCAUGUAAGUCAGGUGUGAAAGCCCCGGGCUCAACCCGGGAAGUGCACUUGAUACUGCGUGGCUUGAGUACCGAAGAGGGUAGUGGAAUUCCAGGUGUAGUGGUGAAAUACGUAGAUAUCUGGAGGAACACCGGUGGCAAAGGCGGCUACCUGGUCGAGUACUGACACUGAGACACGAAAGCAUGGGGAUCAAACAGGAUUAGAUACCCGGGUAGUCC
This 428-nucleotide ribosomal RNA is filed under the name uncultured bacterium. Its description in RNAcentral is "partial 16S ribosomal RNA". It matches the Rfam family "Bacterial small subunit ribosomal RNA", at positions 354 to 796 of the family's 1533-position model. The record is from RNAcentral.